RNAcentral lists this ribosomal RNA (492 nucleotides) under uncultured bacterium. Its description in RNAcentral is "partial 16S ribosomal RNA". It matches the Rfam family "Bacterial small subunit ribosomal RNA", at positions 29 to 507 of the family's 1533-position model. The record is from RNAcentral.
AGUGAACGCUGGCGGUAGGCCUAACACAUGCAAGUCGAACGGCAGCACAGUAAGAGCUUGCUCUUACGGGUGGCGAGUGGCGGACGGGUGAGGAAUACAUCGGAAUCUACUUUUUCGUGGGGGAUAACGUAGGGAAACUUACGCUAAUACCGCAUACGACCUACGGGUGAAAGCAGGGGAUCUUCGGACCUUGCGCGAUUGAAUGAGCCGAUGUCGGAUUAGCUAGUUGGCGGGGUAAAGGCCCACCAAGGCGACGAUCCGUAGCUGGUCUGAGAGGAUGAUCAGCCACACUGGAACUGAGACACGGUCCAGAGUCCUACGGGAGGCAGCAGUGGGGAAUAUUGGACAAUGGGCGCAAGCCUGAUACAGCCAUACCGCGUGGGUGAAGAAGGCCUUCGGGUUGUAAAGCCCUUUUGUUGGGAAAGAAAAGCAGCAGGUUAAUACCCCGCUGUUCUGACGGUACCCAAAGAAUAAGCACCGGCUAACUUCGUG